GACGAACGCUGGCGGCGUGCUUAACACAUGCACGUCGAACGGAAAGGCCCUGCUUUUGUGGGGUGCUCGAGUGGCGAACGGGUGAGUAACACGUGAGUAACCUGCCCUUGACUUUGGGAUAACUUCAGGAAACUGGGGCUAAUACCGGAUAGGAGCUCCUGCUGCAUGGUGGGGGUUGGAAAGUUUCGGCGGUUGGGGCUGGACUCGCGGCUUAUCAGCUUGUUGGUGGGGUAGUGGCUUUCCAAGGCUUUGACGGGUAGCCGGCCUGGGAGGGUGACCGGCCACAUUGGGACUGAGGUACGGCCCAGACGCCUACGGGAGGCAGCAGUGGGGAAUAUUGCACAAUGGGCGGAAGCCUGAUGCAGCAACGCCGCGUGCGGGAUGACGGCCUUCGGGUUGUAAACCGCUUUCGCCUGUGACGAAGCGUUAGUGACGGUAAUGGGUAAAGAAGCACCGGCUAACUACGUG
Molecule: ribosomal RNA, 468 nt
Filed under: uncultured bacterium
Lineage: Bacteria
Description: partial 16S ribosomal RNA
Rfam family: Bacterial small subunit ribosomal RNA
Source: RNAcentral